AAGGUAGCGAAAUUCCUUGUCGGGUAAGUUCCGACCUGCACGAAUGGCGUAACGAUCUCCACACUGUCUCGGCCAGAGACUCGGUGAAAUUGAAGUCGCGGUGAAAAUGCCGUGUACCCGCAGAAAGACGGAAAGACCCUGUGCACCUUUACUAUAGCUUGACAUUGGGAUUUGAGCCUGCAUGUGUAGCAUAGGUGGGAGGCUGUGAACUCUGUACGCCAGUAUGGAGGGAGCCAUCGUUGAAAUACCACCCUUGUUUGUUCAGGUCCCUAACUCCUUGCCGUGAUCCGGUAGGAGGACAGUGUCUGGUGGGUAGUUUGACUGGGGCGGUCGCCUCCCAAAAUGUAACGGAGGCAUGCAAAGGUUCCCUCAGGCUGAUUGGAAACCAGCCGUCGAGUGCAAACGCAAAAGGGAGCUUGACUGCAAGAGAGACAUCUCGAGCAGGUACGAAAGUAGGUGUUAGUGAUCCGGUGAUCCCGAAUGGAAGGGUCAUCGCUCAUUGGAUAAAAGGUACGCCGGGGAUAACAGGCUGAUCGCAUCCAAGAGUUCACAUCGACGAUGCGGUUUGGCACCUCGAUGUCGGCUCAUCACAUCCUGGGGCUGAAGCAGGUCCCAAGGGUACGGCUGUUCGCCGUUUAAAGUGGUACGCGAGCUGGGUUUAAAACGUCGUGAGACAGUUUGGUCCCUAUCUUCUGUGGGCGAAGGAGAAUUGAGAGGGCCUGUCCCUAGUACGAGAGGACCGGGAUGGACGCACCCCUGGUGAUCCUGUUGUCGCGCCAGCGGCAUAGCAGGGUAGCUAUGUGCGGAAGGGAUAACCGCUGAAAGCAUCUAAGCGGGAAGCCUGCCUCAAGAUAAGUUCUCCCCUCGAAAGAGCUGAAGGGCCCGGGUAGACUACCCGGUCGAUAGGCUGGAGGUGUAAGCGCGGCGACGUGCUCAGCUGACCAGUACUAAUAGCCCGAGCGGCUUAUUUUU
Molecule: ribosomal RNA, 972 nt
Filed under: human gut metagenome
Description: bacterial LSU rRNA
Rfam family: Bacterial large subunit ribosomal RNA
Source: RNAcentral